CGAAGCGGAGCAAAUCCCUAAAACGCCAUCUCAGUUCGGAUUGCAGGCUGCAACUCGCCUGCAUGAAGCUGGAAUUGCUAGUAAUCGCGGAUCAGCAAGCCGCGGUGAAUACGUUCCCGGGCCUUGUACACACCGCCCGUCACACCAUGAGAGUCGGGAACACCCGAAGUCCGUAGUCUAACCGCAAGGGGGGCGCGGCCGAAGGUGGGUCCGGUAAUUGGGGUGAAGUCGUAACAAGGUAUC
This 243-nucleotide ribosomal RNA is filed under the name uncultured bacterium. Its description in RNAcentral is "partial 16S ribosomal RNA". It matches the Rfam family "Bacterial small subunit ribosomal RNA", at positions 1258 to 1500 of the family's 1533-position model. The record is from RNAcentral.